Molecule: non-coding RNA, 138 nt
Organism: Thauera sp. 27
Lineage: Bacteria; Pseudomonadati; Pseudomonadota; Betaproteobacteria; Rhodocyclales; Zoogloeaceae
Source: Rfam
CAGCGGGUGCGAAUCCUGCCCGACAACUUUCGCUCCGGCCGGUAGUAACUGGAGCAAUCGUGGAGGUAACAAAGCGGUUGAAGCCUUCAGUGUAGAGGGUCCUUCAGGGACUUGGCGAGCACGCAGGCCGCAACGUGA